Non-coding RNA from Gossypium raimondii (Peruvian cotton), 107 nucleotides. The record is from Rfam. Lineage: Eukaryota; Viridiplantae; Streptophyta; Magnoliopsida; Malvales; Malvaceae.
AACCCAAGGUGUGGGCACUUUCUCAAUAAACCCUUGUAUCUCUCCCAUGCAUCAUAUAACGUCUCUAAAUCAACCUGUACGAAGGAAAAGAUAUCAUUCCUCAACUU